RNAcentral lists this long non-coding RNA (2773 nucleotides) under Mytilus galloprovincialis (Mediterranean mussel). Lineage: Eukaryota; Metazoa; Mollusca; Bivalvia; Mytilida; Mytilidae. The record is from RNAcentral.
UAAAAGUCAAAAUUGUUCAAAUGCUAUAAUGCAUUGAAUAUAAAAUAUAUUAUUUUUUAAAGGGGUUUUAUUUAAAUAGCUUACCAUUGUUCACUUUCUGCAAAAUAAUUAGUUAAGGUAUAUAGCAUACUGUAAAUCCUGAAAUUAUUGCCAGCUUUUAAUAACUUGAAUUAUGCAAUUUGGUCAGUGUUGCAAUAAUAAAAACUCAAAUUUUGGAUAACUACUUCAUAUACCAGUUUUUCCCGAAGUCACAAUAAUUAAUCUCACAUUAAUGUUCAUUCUUCAAAAAUAGCAACAACAAAAAAAGGCAUGCAAUAAUUUCUGAGUUUACAGUAUUAGUGUCAGCUGCCAUUCAAAACAAAGCAACCUUCUUUAAUGUAGUUCAUAUCUGACAGUAAAUCAACUGAAACAUAUUGUAGUACCAACUUUUGUCCAAACUAGUUACUGUAAAUGCAGUUAUCAGUAAAACUGUUGAACAAAGCUAAAUUAAUUAUUGUCAUUUCUGGAAUAUUAGAUUUGAAAUGUGAAUUUUCAAUUUUUGCUAUUAAAACAAACCUAUUCCACCCUAAAAUCAACAGUAAUAAAACAUUGUAAAAGUUUACGGUACUUCUAGGAUAAAAGUUUUUGAUGCUGUCCCAUUAAUGUAUAAGCCUGCCUCUUUCAUAAUUAUGGAAGAAGCAGUGCAUCUACUCAGACAGGUUAAACUUAAUUGUUUAUCAUCAUAACUUUACACAAUUACCAUUUUAUAUAUUAGCAUGAUUUAUCAUAUUUUAUACUUAUAAAACAUAGUCUAUCACAAGGAUAUGUUUGAUACUCAUUAUAUAACAAUGUCAAGAGAGUCAAACUCUCGGUCACAGAUUUUCUGAAAUAACUAAAAGCAAUUUCAGGUAUAAUCUGCAUGAGUUGCAAGCUUGCUACAUUUACUGUAAAGCAACUUUUUAUUUUGAGCAAUUUAUUUCCACCACUGGGGGGAUUAGAAAAGUAACCUGAAUACAUGUCAAACUUUGAUCUUCUCAUAUAUGAAUACUCAACAGAGAUGGAAAUCGUGAAAUCAAACAAAAUAGGUCUAAACCUGAAUUUGUUUUAUAUCAAAUAUAGAGUUACAGAUUCCUGAAUGUUUAAAGCAUGUUAUCAAAAAAACAUUUAAAAAAAGUUAAUGCAUUAAAGAUGUGCUAUGCAAUUGAAUGUUAUGUUCUUUACCAAAUGGUUUGAAUAACAUUAAAUGUCUUUAUACAGAUUAAAAAUCAGAUAAAGUUUAGAAACAAUAUGAAGGAAGUAAUAAACAUAAGCCUAUCUUUUGAAUCAUAUACCAAUGUUUUAAAAAUGUCAUUUUGAUAUUACAUAAAAAAGAAAGUGACAGCUUUUUCUGGUCUGUCUAAUACUUCUUAUUUUUUUCAUAUUCAUUGAGAGAAAGUACAGGCAGCAUGGCAUUAUUCCAAUUCUAAAAAAAUAUCUGCAAAAAUAUGAAGCUCCAUGUCUGAAAUUGAAUUAAUUUCAUUUUCCUUGGGAAAUUGAAGAUACUCAGUAUUCAUCAAUAUAACUGAUAAUAGUAUGGUAGAAAUAUUUAUGUAUGCUAUUUUAUAUUUCACAUACUAAAUGCUAUUUUUUAAUGUUCUGAAGUUCUAAUAUAACCAUGUAAUAAAGGUUGUGAAACAUAAAUACUCUUAGUUAUAAGGUUAUACGACCGCAAAAAAAAAUUUGCGUCAUAUAAUGGUAUCAUGUCGUCUUCUGCGUCUUCGUUGUCUGUAGUUUCCAGACAAUAACUUUAGAUUUAGUGAAUGGAUCUCUAUAAAUUUUUACCAGAAGGUUUAAUACCACUAAAUGAAGGUUGGGAUUGAUUUUGGGGGUUAUGGUCCCAAUAGUUUAGGAAUUAGGGGCCAAAAAGGGGCCCAAAAUAAGCAUUUUUGUAGUUUUCAAACAAUAACUUGUGUUUAAGUUUAUGAAUCUCAUUGAAAUUUUACCACAAGUUUCACAAUCCAUGAAGGGAUGGUUAGUUAUGACUUUGGGGGAGUUAUGGCUCAAAAUGUUUUGGAAUUGGGGUCUAAAAAAGGCGAAAUUAAGGGCAAAAAAAUGUAAAAAAAACUAGGUUUUCCAGAAAAUAACUUUAGAUUUAGUGAAUGGAUCUCUAUAAAUGGGGGAAACUAGGUUUUUCUGGUCAAUGGACAAUUAAGACAAUUUAAAAGCAGUGUAAGGGAGGUAAUUCAGUUAACAUUCAAUGUUUGGUAUGUUCGGAUAUACCUCCCUUACACUACUUGUAAAUAAUGUAUAAGGAAAUGUCAGGUUUUGGACUUAUUGCAAAAAAGGGGGGUGAUAGUAGUUUUCAAAUUUUUUUUCUAAAUUUCUUAAAUUCCGAAUUUUUGAAAAGUUUGAGAAAGAAAUCUUUAGUGACACAAUAUUGCAUAAUAAAUUUGUAAGAUCUUGACAUUGGUUUUGUGUCACAAACUCAUAUUAUGUCAAGAAUUUGAUCACAAUCCAAAUUCAGAGCUGUACCAAGCUUGAUUGUUGUGUCCAUACUUGCCCCAACUGUUCAGGGUUCACCCUCUGCAGUCGUACAAAGCUGUGCCCUGCGGAGCACCUGGUUAAAACUUUGUCAUUGUUUUCAUUCAUCUGCAGACAACAUUAUUACUAUAUAAUUACAUUAGAUGUAUGUUACAUUAUGAUACGUUAUUCUGAUUAGCUAACUGCACAUCUCUGGUUAUUCCAUAAUUAACUUCAUUACACAAUAAAAUUUAUCAUACAUGAUGACACAAGGUCCCACAGUAAAGUGCACGGG